AGUUUGAUCCUGGCUCAGGAUGAACGCUAGCGGCAGGCCUAAUACAUGCAAGUCGAACGGAUAUAUGUUUUUCGGAAUAUAUAUUAGUGGCGCACGGGUGUGUAACACGUACAUAACUUGCCCUCAAGCGGGGGAUAGCCUUGGGAAACUGAGAGUAAUACCCCAUAGAAUUAUUGGACGGCAUCGUUUGAUAAUUAAAACUACGGUGCUUGGGGAUAGAUGUGCGUCUGAUUAGCUAGUUGGUGAGGUAACUGCUCACCAAGGCGACGAUCAGUAGGGGGCGUGAGAGCGUGGCCCCCCACACGGGUACUGAGACACGGACCCGACUCCUACGGGAGGCAGCAGUAAGGAAUAUUGGUCAAUGGAGGGAACUCUGAACCAGCCAUGCCGCGUGAAGGAUGACGGCCCUCUGGGUUGUAAACUUCUUUUGGAUGGGGCGAAAAAACGGGAUUUAUCCUGGACUGACGGUACCAUCAGAAUAAGCACCGGCUAACUCCGUG
This 500-nucleotide ribosomal RNA is filed under the name uncultured bacterium. RNAcentral's name for it is "bacterial SSU rRNA". It matches the Rfam family "Bacterial small subunit ribosomal RNA", at positions 10 to 507 of the family's 1533-position model. The record is from RNAcentral.